Peromyscus californicus insignis is the source of this 153-nucleotide long non-coding RNA. RefSeq lists it as uncharacterized. The record is from RefSeq and is a predicted model, not a curated record. The transcript has 2 exons. NCBI's taxonomy places the organism in Eukaryota, Metazoa, Chordata, Mammalia, Rodentia, Cricetidae.
AGCCAUGGCUGUCCUGGAACUCCCUCUGUAGACCAGGUUGGCCCUGAACUCAGAGGCAGGUGGAUCUUUGUGAGUUCGAGGCCAGCCUGGUCUACAGAGCGAGAUCCAGGAAAAGGCGCAAAGCUACACAGAGAAACCCUGUCUCAAAAAACC